Molecule: long non-coding RNA, 411 nt
Filed under: Chloebia gouldiae (Gouldian finch)
Lineage: Eukaryota; Metazoa; Chordata; Aves; Passeriformes; Passeridae
Description: Erythrura gouldiae (Gouldian finch) lncRNA (ENSEGOG00005000373.1)
Source: RNAcentral
AUCAGGUCUGGUGUGGUUUCUUUGCCAGUCAAUGCUGACUGUGAGUGUGGUAUAAAGAACAGCCCGAGAUGCAGUCCUGGCAAACAUUGGCUUUAUUGGCAAUCGGUGUGAAAGCGAUGUACUUGUUUCUUUGCAGAAUUGGGCUGCUUAUGACUGGAGUUGGUGGAACCGAGGAACUAUGUAUGUUGAAUCUGAUUUGGACCAACUCUCUGUGUGGAGCAAAGCAUCCUUCUUGAAGACAGUAAACACACCUACAUUUAUCUUUCUCAUGUGGAAUCACUCCCCCACCCCAAACUGCUUAGAAAGCUCAAGCUGUUGUCUCCUUAUGUCCCAUGAGAUCAAGAUCUGUCAUCAACUCUGAAGCCAAUUUCCAUCAGACAUUUUAAACAAGACAGAAAGAGUAAUGUGUGA